CUACGGGCGGCUCCAGUCGAGAAUAUUCCACAAUGGACGAAAGUCUGAUGGAGCGACGCCGCGUGCGGGAUGAAGGCCUUCGGGUUGUAAACCGCUUUUCUCGCAGAAAAACUUCGGUGAUUGUAUGCGAGGAAUAAGAGGUUACUAACUCUGUGCCAGCAGUAGCGGUAAUACAGAGACCUCAAGCGUUAUCCGGAUUUAUUGGGCGUAAAGGGCAGGUAGGCGGAUAUGUUAGUCGGAUGUCAAAGCUCCCGACUCAAUUGGGAAAAGGCAUUCGAAACGGCAUAUCUAGAGAGUGUGAGAGAUAAGUGGAAUUUAUGGUGUAGUAGUGAAAUGCGUUGAUAUCAUAAAGAACACCCAAGGCGAAGGCAACUGAUUGGCACACUUCUGACGCUCAACUGCGAAAGCGUGGGUAGCGAAUAGGAUUAGAUACCCUCGUAGUC
RNAcentral lists this ribosomal RNA (443 nucleotides) under uncultured bacterium. RNAcentral describes it as "partial 16S ribosomal RNA". It matches the Rfam family "Bacterial small subunit ribosomal RNA", at positions 339 to 795 of the family's 1533-position model. The record is from RNAcentral.